AUUCAGCUGACGAGUCCCAAAUAGGACGAAAUGCGCAUCCUGGAU
Schistosoma curassoni is the source of this 45-nucleotide non-coding RNA. NCBI's taxonomy places the organism in Eukaryota, Metazoa, Platyhelminthes, Trematoda, Strigeidida, Schistosomatidae. The record is from Rfam.